UACAGAGGUCUCAAGCGUUGUUCGGAUUCAUUGGGCGUAAAGGGUGCGUAGGCGGCGCGGUAAGUCGGGUGUGAAAUCUCGGAGCUUAACUCCGAAACUGCAUUCGAUACUGCCGUGCUUGAGGACUGGAGAGGAGACUGGAAUUUACGGUGUAGCGGUGAAAUGCGUAGAUAUCGUAAGGAAGACCAGUGGCGAAGGCGGCGACCUGGGUUGACACUGACGCUGAGGCGCGAAAGCGUGGGGAGCAAACAGG
This 253-nucleotide ribosomal RNA is filed under the name uncultured bacterium. Its description in RNAcentral is "partial 16S ribosomal RNA". It matches the Rfam family "Bacterial small subunit ribosomal RNA", at positions 524 to 776 of the family's 1533-position model. The record is from RNAcentral.